CCUACGGGUGGCAGCAGUGGGGAAUAUUGCACAAUGGGGGAAACCCUGAUGCAGCGACGCCGCGUGAGUGAAGAAGUCUUUCUGUAUGUAAAGCUCUAUCAGCAGGGAAGUAAUCUCGACCUUUGGGUCGCCAGACGGUACCUGACUAAGAAGCCCCGGCUAACUACGGGCCAGCAGCCGCGGUAAUACGUAGGGGGCAAGCGUUAUCCGGAUUUACUGGGUGUAAAGGGAGCGUAGACGGCAGCACAAGUCUGAAGUGAAAUGCCGGGGCUUAACCCCGGAACUGCUUUGGAAACUGUGCAGCUAGAGUGCAGGAGAGGUAAGUGGAAUUCCUAGUGUAGCGGUGAAAUGCGUAGAUAUUAGGAGGAACACCAGUGGCGAAGGCGGCUUACUGGACUGUAACUGACGUUGAGGCUCGAAAGCGUGGGGAGCAAACAGGAUUAGAUAUCCGAGUAGUC
This 458-nucleotide ribosomal RNA is filed under the name uncultured bacterium. RNAcentral's name for it is "partial 16S ribosomal RNA". It matches the Rfam family "Bacterial small subunit ribosomal RNA", at positions 338 to 795 of the family's 1533-position model. The record is from RNAcentral.